RNAcentral lists this ribosomal RNA (613 nucleotides) under uncultured Bacteroidales bacterium. RNAcentral describes it as "bacterial SSU rRNA". It matches the Rfam family "Bacterial small subunit ribosomal RNA", at positions 91 to 703 of the family's 1533-position model. Lineage: Bacteria; Pseudomonadati; Bacteroidota; Bacteroidia; Bacteroidales. The record is from RNAcentral.
GCGACCGGCGCACGGGUGAGUAACACGUAUCCAACCUGCCCUUUACUCGGGGAUAGCCUUUCGAAAGAAAGAUUAAUACCCGAUAGCAUAAUGAUUCCGCAUGGUUUCAUUAUUAAAGGAUUCCGGUAAAGGAUGGGGAUGCGUUCCAUUAGGUUGUUGGUGAGGUAACGGCUCACCAAGCCUUCGAUGGAUAGGGGUUCUGAGAGGAAGGUCCCCCACAUUGGAACUGAGACACGGUCCAAACUCCUACGGGAGGCAGCAGUGAGGAAUAUUGGUCAAUGGGCGUUAGCCUGAACCAGCCAAGUAGCGUGAAGGAUGAAGGCUCUAUGGGUCGUAAACUUCUUUUAUAUAAGAAUAAAGUGCAGUAUGUAUACUGUUUUGUAUGUAUUAUAUGAAUAAGGAUCGGCUAACUCCGUGCCAGCAGCCGCGGUAAUACGGAGGAUCCGAGCGUUAUCCGGAUUUAUUGGGUUUAAAGGGAGCGUAGGUGGACUGGUAAGUCAGUUGUGAAAGUUUGCGGCUCAACCGUAAAAUUGCAGUUGAUACUGUCAGUCUUGAGUACAGUAGAGGUGGGCGGAAUUCGUGGUGUAGCGGUGAAAUGCUUAGAUAUCACGAA